UCAAGGAUCAGAUAGAUGUAGUUUCGAAUUACGUAUCGACAUGCGGAAUAUUGUCGAUUUUCCAUAUUUUUAUCGUAAAUUGUUGAUGGGAUGUUAAGAUGGAGGAUUAGUAACUAGCAGCCAUUUGCAUUAUUUUUGUUCUUUUUGCUUAAUGGAGUUUUGUCAUUUUUUUACAAGUGUCGAGUGUAGUUUUGUUGCAUCAAUUUUCCUACAUAUGUAACUAUUACAGAGGAAGAAAAUGGAAGACUUGAACGAGAAGUUUCUUAGUGCGACAAUGUAUGGAAAAGUAGCAGAAAUUCAGCAAUAUUUAGACGAAGGGGCUGAUUUGAAAUACAUGGAUAAAAAUAACCUGACUGCAUUAUACAAAGCAUCUGCCUUUGGACACAUUGAGAUCGUGUGUUUGUUACUAGACCGAGGAAGUGAUUCAAACAUAAACCGGUUAGGUGACAGUGCACUUCACUUGGCUGCUGGAAGGGGACAUGCAGAUAUAGUCCGUUUACUAAUAGACCGUGGCAGUGAUUUGAAUAUGAAGAACUGGGAUCACAUGACUCCAUUACACAAAGCUGCUCUUGGUGUACAUUUAGAUAUAGCACAAAUUUUAAUGGACAGUGGCAGUGAUCCCAGUAUCACAGAUGUGGAUAACAAAACACCUUAUGAUGUUGUACAAGAAAGAAUAGGCGAUUCGGAAGAAAUGAAAGAGAUAAAAAGAUCAAUAAAGAAGUUACUACAGGAAUAUGGAGAAUUCCAGAAAGCUGGAUUACCAUUGGAAGUUCAGAAUCUUGACAAACAAUCUGCUAGUGUAUUUUCUGGUUUACUGCAAGACGAAAGUUACCAUCACUAUGAAGCGAGGAUAAUGUUGGUAGGAGAACAGGGAACAGGAAAAACAACAAUUGCCAGAUAUCUGAUGGGAAAAGGGCCAACAAAGUUUCGAAUUGCAACAGACGGAAUAGAACGGAAUACAAUAAUCUUUCAUUUAUGGACGGGAAAACAACCAAACAAUGGUUGGAUGGUAAACAAGACUUUUCGCUGUAUGACUUGACCGUUAGCAGAUCUUUAUUACCAUCAACAAGAUCUAGGCUGAAAAAAGGAAGAAGUGUUGAUGGCACUAGCAUAUCGUCCCGAGACCAAAAUACAGAUAAAAAGACUUCCUCCCCUAUUUUAUGUGGUUCAAUGGUUGGUAUACAUACAGAGGAAGAUAACCAAUCAGCGGCUAAGAAGCCACAGAAAAGUUUAUCCUUAGAUUUAGGCACACAAAUGUGUUCUUUGUAUAGCCAACAGAUUGAACGUCUGCGACAAAAUAAAUGAGAUACCUGUAGAAGCAAUCCUAUUAAUCAUGAAUCACUUGAUACGUCGACUGAUGAUAGAAAAAGUCAGCUUAUCAACACAAUCCUUCUACAGCUAUUACUAAUCCUGGUGUUAUAAAAAGUUUAAAAGGAUUUUUUGGAGUUUCCAAAAAAGUGACAGAAAUAAAAGUAAUUUCACAAGAAAAUUUGCUGAAGGAAUCCUGGAGAGUUGGAAAGAAAGAGUUGUAUCAGAAGCAAAUAGCUCCGGUGAUUAUUUGGGAUUUUGGAGGUCAAAAUAUUUUCUACAGUACUCAUCAAACGUUUUUGACUUACCGUGCAAUCUACAUACUUGUGAUAAAUGGUAGUAGAACCCUUGAUGAUCCAUGUCCUUUUGAGCAAUAUCUUCCUGGAAGAUGUGGACACAAGACAGCAAGAGAUUAUCUAAAGUUUUGGGCUAACACCAUAAUAACAUAUUGUAAAGGAGGUGGACAAGGAUAUCCAAAAAUCAUGAUUGUUUUGACCCACAAAGACAAAGUGAAGCCUGAAAAUAUUGAAAUGAGAAGAAAAGAACUGUUCGGGGAAAUAACAAAGAUGUUUGAAGGGACAGAAGUGACAGCACAUUUGGUAUUGGAAGAUAAAAUAUUUGUAGACGCAAAAGACAAACUUGACCUAGAAAUGACAAAUAUCCGAAAAAAUAUAAUAGAUGAAGCCAUGGCUCAACCUUCAUGGGGACAACAUUUUCCUAAAUGUUUCAUUCCCCUUGAAAUAGAGCUGAUUAAGUUUAUUGAAAAGAAAGUUCCCAUUAUAACAAUGGUGCAAAUGAAAAAGAUAAACUCGGGACAUCCAAUUAAACCUUUAACUGAUUUCGAGCUAAAGGUGUUCCUCAAAUUUCAGCAUGCCAUCGGUAAAUUAUUAUAUUUUGAUGUACCAAAUUUGGAUCAGCAUAUCAUUUUGUCUCCCACGCAUUUAAUCGAUGCGUUUAAAUCAAGCGUUUCU
RNA transcript from Mytilus californianus (California mussel), 2279 nucleotides. It is a transcript of the gene named ankyrin repeat domain-containing protein 39-like, with no coding region annotated. The transcript is spliced from 12 exons. NCBI's taxonomy places the organism in Eukaryota, Metazoa, Mollusca, Bivalvia, Mytilida, Mytilidae. The record is from RefSeq and is a predicted model, not a curated record.